Molecule: ribosomal RNA, 252 nt
Filed under: uncultured bacterium
Lineage: Bacteria
Description: partial small subunit ribosomal RNA
Rfam family: Bacterial small subunit ribosomal RNA
Source: RNAcentral
AGGACGAACGCUGGCGGCGUGCUUAACACAUGCAAGUCGAGCGGAAAGGCCCUUCGGGGUACUCGAGCGGCGAACGGGUGAGUAACACGUGAGUGAUCUGCCCCUAGCUCUGGGGUAGCUCCGGGAAACCGGGAUUAAUACCGGAUACGACCACCUUAGACAUCUUUUGUGGUGGAAAGGAUUCCGGCUAGGGAUGGGCUCGCGGCCUAUCAGCUUGUUGGUGGGUAACGGCCUACCAAGGCGACGACGGGU